ACUCCUACGGGAGGCAGCAGUGAGGAAUAUUGGUCAAUGGGCGCAAGCCUGAACCAGCCAUGCCGCGUGCAGGAUGACGGUCCUAUGGAUUGUAAACUGCUUUUGCACAGGAAGAAACACUCCCUCGUGAGGGAGCUUGACGGUACUGUGAGAAUAAGGAUCGGCUAACUCCGUGCCAGCAGCCGCGGUAAUAC
RNAcentral lists this ribosomal RNA (194 nucleotides) under uncultured bacterium. RNAcentral's name for it is "partial 16S ribosomal RNA". It matches the Rfam family "Bacterial small subunit ribosomal RNA", at positions 335 to 526 of the family's 1533-position model. The record is from RNAcentral.